Molecule: ribosomal RNA, 753 nt
Filed under: Veillonella sp. HGFM69
Lineage: Bacteria; Bacillati; Bacillota; Negativicutes; Veillonellales; Veillonellaceae
Description: bacterial SSU rRNA
Rfam family: Bacterial small subunit ribosomal RNA
Source: RNAcentral
GAUGGAAGCUUGCUUCUAUCAAUCUUAGUGGCGAACGGGUGAGUAACGCGUAAUCAACCUGCCCUUCAGAGGGGGACAACAGUUGGAAACGACUGCUAAUACCGCAUACGAUCUAAUCUCGGCAUCGAGGAUAGAUGAAAGGUGGCCUCUAUUUAUAAGCUAUCACUGAAGGAGGGGAUUGCGUCUGAUUAGCUAGUUGGAGGGGUAACGGCCCACCAAGGCGAUGAUCAGUAGCCGGUCUGAGAGGAUGAACGGCCACAUUGGGACUGAGACACGGCCCAGACUCCUACGGGAGGCAGCAGUGGGGAAUCUUCCGCAAUGGACGAAAGUCUGACGGAGCAACGCCGCGUGAGUGAUGACGGCCUUCGGGUUGUAAAGCUCUGUUAAUCGGGACGAAAGGCCUUCUUGCGAAUAGUGAGAAGGAUUGACGGUACCGGAAUAGAAAGCCACGGCUAACUACGUGCCAGCAGCCGCGGUAAUACGUAGGUGGCAAGCGUUGUCCGGAAUUAUUGGGCGUAAAGCGCGCGCAGGCGGAUAGGUCAGUCUGUCUUAAAAGUUCGGGGCUUAACCCCGUGAUGGGAUGGAAACUGCCAAUCUAGAGUAUCGGAGAGGAAAGUGGAAUUCCUAGUGUAGCGGUGAAAUGCGUAGAUAUUAGGAAGAACACCAGUGGCGAAGGCGACUUUCUGGACGAACACUGACGCUGAGGCGCGAAAGCCAGGGGAGCGAACGGGAUUAGAUACCCCGGUAGUCCUG